GACGAACGCUGGCGGCGUGCUUAACACAUGCAAGUCGAACGGAAAGGCCCUGCUUUUGUGGGGUGCUCGAGUGGCGAACGGGUGAGUAACACGUGAGUAACCUGCCCUUGACUUUGGGAUAACUUCAGGAAACUGGGGCUAAUACCGGAUAGGAGCUCCUGCUGCAUGGUGGGGGUUGGAAAGUUUCGGCGGUUGGGGAUGGACUCGCGGCUUAUCAGCUUGUUGGUGGGGUAGUGGCUUACCAAGGAUUUGACGGGUAGCCGGCCUGUGAGGGUGACCGGCAAAAUGGGGACGGAGAUACGGACCAGACUCCAACGGGAGGCAGCAGUGGGGAAUAUUGCAAAAUGGGCGGAAGCCUGAUGCAGAAACGCCGCGUGCGGGAUGACGGCCUUCGGGUUGUAAACCGCUUUCGCCUGUGACGAAGCGUGAGUGACGGUAAUGGGUAAAGAAGCACCGGCUAACUACGUG
RNAcentral lists this ribosomal RNA (468 nucleotides) under uncultured bacterium. Its description in RNAcentral is "partial 16S ribosomal RNA". It matches the Rfam family "Bacterial small subunit ribosomal RNA", at positions 28 to 507 of the family's 1533-position model. The record is from RNAcentral.